This 69-nucleotide transfer RNA is filed under the name Rattus norvegicus (Norway rat). It matches the Rfam family "tRNA". From Rfam's summary of the family: Transfer RNA (tRNA) molecules are approximately 80 nucleotides in length. Their secondary structure includes four short double-helical elements and three loops (D, anti-codon, and T loops). Lineage: Eukaryota; Metazoa; Chordata; Mammalia; Rodentia; Muridae. The record is from Rfam by way of RNAcentral.
GGGGAUUUAGCUCAGUGGUAGAGCGCUUGCCUAGCAAGCGAAAGGCCCUGGGUUCGGUCCUCAGCUCCA